This 68-nucleotide transfer RNA is filed under the name Botryllus schlosseri. RNAcentral's name for it is "transfer RNA-Phe". The record is from RNAcentral. Lineage: Eukaryota; Metazoa; Chordata; Ascidiacea; Stolidobranchia; Styelidae.
UAUAAAGUAUUUUAUAAAAAAAUAGAGUUUUGAAAAAGCUCAGAAAAAUCUUUUUGAUUUCUUUAUGU